RNAcentral lists this ribosomal RNA (296 nucleotides) under uncultured bacterium. RNAcentral's name for it is "partial 16S ribosomal RNA". It matches the Rfam family "Bacterial small subunit ribosomal RNA", at positions 775 to 1067 of the family's 1533-position model. The record is from RNAcentral.
GGAUUAGAUACCCUGGUAGUCCUAGCUGUAAACGAUGGAUACUAGACGUAGGAACUGGAUUGACGGUUUCUGUGUCGCAGCUAACGCGUUAAGUAUCCCGCCUGGGGAGUACGGUCGCAAGACUAAAACUCAAAUGAAUUGACGGGGGCCCGCACAAGCAGUGGAGCAUGUGGUUUAAUUCGAUGCAACGCGAAGAACCUUACCAGGCCUUGACAUCCUCGGAACUUUCUAGAGAUAGAUUGGUGCCUUCGGGAACCGAGUGACAGGUGCUGCAUGGCUGUCGUCAGCUCGUGCCG